GACGAACGCUGGCGGCGUGCUUAACACAUGCAAGUCGAACGGAGCACCUUUGAAAGAGACUUCGGUCAAUGGAUGAGACUGCUGAGCGGCGGACGGGUGAGUAACGCGUGGGGAACCUGCCUCAUACAGGGGGAUAACAGUUAGAAAUGACUGCUAAUACCGCAUAAGCGCACAGUGCCGCAUGGCGCUGUGUGAAAAACUCCGGUGGUAUGAGAUGGACCCGCGUCUGAUUAGCUGGUUGGUGAGGUAACGGCCCACCAAGGCGACGAUCAGUAGCCGGACUGAGAGGUUGGCCGGCACAUUGGGACUGAGACACGGCCCAG
RNAcentral lists this ribosomal RNA (323 nucleotides) under uncultured bacterium. Its description in RNAcentral is "bacterial SSU rRNA". It matches the Rfam family "Bacterial small subunit ribosomal RNA", at positions 28 to 334 of the family's 1533-position model. The record is from RNAcentral.